This 253-nucleotide ribosomal RNA is filed under the name uncultured bacterium. RNAcentral describes it as "partial 16S ribosomal RNA". It matches the Rfam family "Bacterial small subunit ribosomal RNA", at positions 524 to 776 of the family's 1533-position model. The record is from RNAcentral.
UACGAAGGUGGCAAGCGUUGUUCGGAUUUACUGGGCGUACAGGGAGCGUAGGCGGUUGGAUAAGCCCUCCGUGAAAUCUCCAGGCUUAACCUGGAAAGUGCAGAGGGGACUGUUCAGCUAGAGGAUGGGAGAGGAGCGCGGAAUUCCCGGUGUAGCGGUGAAAUGCGUAGAGAUCGGGAGGAAGGCCGGUGGCGAAGGCGGCGCUCUGGAACAUUUCUGACGCUGAGGCUCGAAAGCGUGGGGAGCGAUCCGG